Molecule: non-coding RNA, 2216 nt
Organism: Labrus bergylta (ballan wrasse)
Lineage: Eukaryota; Metazoa; Chordata; Actinopteri; Labriformes; Labridae
Source: RefSeq, a predicted model, not a curated record
ACAUGAAAGAGCAGGAGCGUCCUCGUUAAUCUGCCGGGUGUCAGGCGAACACGACAGGCUGCAUGCCAUCAAAGAGCGUAAUCAAAUACACGUCGACAGCCUGUGUGUGCCAUCAGCCGGACAACUCCCGAACCUCAGCACGAAUAGCAACUACACAAGAGUGUCCUCCAUCUCUCCGCUUUCCCUCAUUUUCUCUAACUAAGGACAUUGUCACUACCAGAGCCUGCUGCAGUUGCUCCUCCGUCUGUAAUCCUUGUUAUCUCUGCAGAGCUUUUGGAGAGUGAAGCAGCUCCGAGCUGACCUUAUAAAGACUCCUCCUGACCAGACCACACCUCUGUCCCUGAGUCCAUGGAAGCCAAGGCCAAGUCUGGGGCCCCGGCACCCAAGGCUGCAUCUAAAGCUGAAAAGAAGGAGCCGGCAGCCCCACGCAAGAGUGACCCUGCCCCUGUAGCUCCUGAGCCCGAGCAGCCUCCUCCCCAUGAUGGGGCAGCAGAAACGGAAGCAGCAGGUGAUGAGGCUGCGGCCUCUGGCACAGACUCUCUGGAACAUCUGAAGCCGUUCCUCAUUGGUGGUGCUGUUAUUGCUGCAGGAGCCAUCUUGCUGGGAGUGUUGCUACUGGCGAGGAGAAAUUAAAACCAAGUCAUUAUCUCAAUUGAAAGUAUUUAUUGGUUAAUCAGCUGGAGCGCUAUUGCUAAGUGGUUCACAGACUAUGAUACCUGGGGGAUGGGGUGCCACUGUGCAUCUAUUUUUUGUUCUAUUUUUUCAGCCUGCUUCCACUAGUAGUGAAUCAAACCAUUUAAGUUUGGAUCAAAGCUGUAUAUGGAGCAAACUACAAAUAGAAUAUGCAUGAAGUUACUUCAAUACCGCAUCUGAACUGUAAUAACCUAUUUCUUAAAAAAUGUACCACACUUUAGUGCUGAGCUUUAAACCGUAGACUCUAAAUCUAGCUCCCUCAACUGCUUUAUCUUUCUUUAAUCUAGUUUGCACAAAUGUUGACAAAAGCUUGCAAUAUUUGUACAUUCCUGCACUGGAAAUGAGAUUGGUUCACUUUACUAAAAGAUGAUAAAAAAAACUGUUUUCAUAAUGUUGAAAUUAUGGAUAAUAGUGCUGGCUAUCAGAGCUGUCCUAGUUUUUUUUUACUUCUGUAUUAAACAAUUGAAAGAAUAGAAGUCAGUACAGCGGGGAAUAUGCAUUGUGAUGCAUCGCACAUAUUGUGGAAAAUUCCAUGCCAUCCCUGCAUAUUCGGAAAAAAAAUCAAAAUUGAUUGCUACAGUGAAAUUUCAAAAAUCAACUUUUCCAGAGAUAGAAAAGAUGAGCAUGCAAUGAUUAAGAAAGGAUGUUUGGGAAUGUUGGAGAAAAGUAUACAUAGUAGGUUGCAGAGAACAAUAGUACUGUUACGUCUUGCUGUAGACUAAGAAAGAGUUUGUUUUUACUGUUAAAAAAUGUCACAAAUCAAUAACCUUUCAUGUCUUACACAAAAGCCACCAUCAUGCUGGUUCAACUGGUUUGCUACUUACAGUAAAUAUAGCUGGAGCAGGCUAACCAGACAUCAGUGUUUCAAUUUCGCUGCUGCAUACACUUACCUGUACAGAUGUACACAAUGUUCUUCACUCACAUUCAAGGGUCAUUGGGGUGUUCCUGUUGCAUCAGUAGAUAGCAGAUAGACAAUUGUGAUUCACAUCAUCACUUGAUAUAAGUUGUGAGGGGGAAUAUGCAUUGCAGAACUUGUUCCUCGUUAAAAACUAUUUUGUACACAUACCACAUUUACCACAGUUAACAACCUAAACCCAUACAAAAUAUAGUAUGCCAACACCAAAACAAACUUCACCUGACAUUGUACGAUACAGUGUACCAAAAAAAAGAAAGAUACUAUUUUCAUAAUUUCAACAGCGUAUAAAUGCAAUAAUUCAGAUAGGACUCCUCAUUUAGCAUAUGUGCUGUAGCAAGUUAAAUUAUAUACAAGAGGAUUUACCAAUAUAUUGGAAGAUGAUGAUGUAAGAAAUGGCAAUUAUGGCGAGAUAGCAUGAUGCGUAUGAUGGUAAUACCAUGAGUCACCAUGAGGUCUCAUGGUGACCGUACUGAAAAUAAUGAUGGUUAUGAUAUAUUUUUGAUAUAUUUGUCACGUUUUUCUUCUGCACACUCCCCUAUGCCCCAAUCUCCAAAUGUAAAAAUGAGAAAGGAUGAUAUCUAACCUUUAUUAAAGUCAGUGAACCAGU